This 77-nucleotide transfer RNA is filed under the name Candidatus Coproplasma excrementipullorum. RNAcentral's name for it is "tRNA-Arg". It matches the Rfam family "tRNA". From Rfam's summary of the family: Transfer RNA (tRNA) molecules are approximately 80 nucleotides in length. Their secondary structure includes four short double-helical elements and three loops (D, anti-codon, and T loops). The record is from RNAcentral. Lineage: Bacteria; Bacillati; Bacillota; Clostridia; Eubacteriales.
GCACCUGUAGCUCAGCUGGAUAGAGCACAGACCUCCGACGUCUGGUGCCGAUGGUUCGAAUCCAUUCAGGUGCACCA